AGGUGGUGGAGUUGAACUUGUUGUUCGAGCAAGUCGAGGGUCCGCACUCAUGUUGCUGGUUUGUUUGUCUGCUGUUGCGGGGUCUACUGAUCUGUUUCUUAUAUAGCAAAGUCCAAAAAGAACUGUCGAGAACUCAGAUGUAUAUUAUAUAUGAUUUUGUAGCACGAGAUUGCCGAUAAAUCAGGGAGGAUGAGUGGUCCGAUUACUGAUGAGAUGAACUCCCGAGGAAGCUUGCAGUCAGCAGCGUGAAUCAACAUAUUUCAACUACCUCACGGAAUGGGUAUGCACAACUUCGAUAGUGGGAAUUCAGAUUGAUAUGUAUAUUUCGCGUAUUUUAAGUGUAUCCUCAUAUGUGAGAAUAGGACAGC
RNAcentral lists this small RNA (368 nucleotides) under Histoplasma capsulatum var. duboisii H88. RNAcentral describes it as "Histoplasma capsulatum H88 hypothetical RNA". The record is from RNAcentral. Lineage: Eukaryota; Fungi; Ascomycota; Eurotiomycetes; Onygenales; Ajellomycetaceae.